RNAcentral lists this ribosomal RNA (473 nucleotides) under uncultured bacterium. RNAcentral describes it as "partial 16S ribosomal RNA". It matches the Rfam family "Bacterial small subunit ribosomal RNA", at positions 34 to 540 of the family's 1533-position model. The record is from RNAcentral.
AACGAACGCUGGCGGCAUGCCUAACACAUGCAAGUCGAACGAGACCUUCGGGUCUAGUGGCGCACGGGUGCGUAACGCGUGGGAACCUGCCCUUAGGUUCGGAAUAACUCCCCGAAAGGGGUGCUAAUACCGGAUAAUGUCUUCGGACCAAAGAUUUAUCGCCUUUGGAUGGGCCCGCGUUGGAUUAGCUAGUUGGUAGGGUAAAAGCCUACCAAGGCGACGAUCCAUAGCUGGUCUGAGAGGAUGAUCAGCCACACUGGGACUGAGACACGGCCCAGACUGCGAGGGGGGGGAGGAGGGGGGAAGAGGGGAAAGGGGGCGAAAGCCGGAGGAAGGAAGGGGUGGGGAGUGAUGAAGGGCUGAGGGUGGUAAAGCUGUUUAACGCGGGAAGAGAAGGACAGGACCGGGAAAAUAAGCGCCGGCUAACUCCGUGCAAGCAGCCGCGGAAAGAGAAGAAGAGCACAGGCGAGAAC